UACGUAGGGUGCGAGCGUUAAUCGGAAUUACUGGGCGUAAAGCGUGCGCAGGCGGCUUUGCAAGACAGGAGUGAAAUCCCGGGGCUUAACCCCGGAAUUGCUUUUGAAACUGCAAAUCUAGAAUCCCGGAGAGGUUAGGAGAAUUCCGAGUGUAGAGGUGAAAUUCGCAGAUAUUCGGAGGAAUACCAGUGGCGCAGGCGCCUAACUGGACGGGCAUUGACGCUCAGGCACGAAAGCGUGGGGAGCAAACAGG
RNAcentral lists this ribosomal RNA (253 nucleotides) under uncultured bacterium. RNAcentral's name for it is "partial 16S ribosomal RNA". It matches the Rfam family "Bacterial small subunit ribosomal RNA", at positions 524 to 776 of the family's 1533-position model. The record is from RNAcentral.